CGAUCUGCUGGGGGGAGAUGAAAUGGAUAUGGGUGUCCAAAGCGCCUGCGGUCAGGAUCAGCCCCUCACCGGCAAGCGCCUCUGUGGAAGCGCCCACCGUCAUCCCGGGCGUAACGCCGUCCAUCACAGAGGGAUUUCCAGCUUUUCCGAUCCCGGCGAUCCGCCCAUCCUUGAUCCCGAUGUCUGCCUUGUAGAUUCCGGUAUAAUCCAGAACCAGGGCAUUGGUGAUCACCAGAUCCAGGUCGCCGUCCUUGCUGGUGGUACUGACGGACUGUCCCAUGCCGUCCCUC
RNAcentral lists this small RNA (290 nucleotides) under chicken gut metagenome. RNAcentral's name for it is "5' ureB small RNA". It matches the Rfam family "5' ureB small RNA". The record is from RNAcentral.